AUACGGAGGACGCGAGCGUUAUCCGGAUUCAUUGGGUUUAAAGGGUGCGCAGGCGGCCGUGCAAGUCAGCGGUGAAAGCCCGGGGCUCAACCCCGGAAGUGCCGUUGAUACUGCAUGGCUGGAAUGCGGUCGAGGCGGGCGGAACGUGGGGUGUAGCGGUGAAAUGCGUAGAUAAGGCACAGAACGCCGAUAGCGGAGGCAGCUCGCCAGGCCUGCAUGGACGCUCGGGCACGAAAGCGUGGGGAUCGAACAGGAUUAGAUACCCUGGUAGUCCACGCCGUAAACGAUGGGCGCUCGUCGUCGGCGGCAGACAGUCGGCGGCCAAGCGAAAGCGAUAAGCGCCCCACCUGGGGAGUACGGUCGCAAGGCUGAAACUCAAAUGAAUUGGCGGGG
Molecule: ribosomal RNA, 393 nt
Filed under: uncultured bacterium
Lineage: Bacteria
Description: partial 16S ribosomal RNA
Rfam family: Bacterial small subunit ribosomal RNA
Source: RNAcentral